This 433-nucleotide ribosomal RNA is filed under the name uncultured bacterium. RNAcentral's name for it is "partial 16S ribosomal RNA". It matches the Rfam family "Bacterial small subunit ribosomal RNA", at positions 29 to 507 of the family's 1533-position model. The record is from RNAcentral.
AGCGAACGCUGGCGGCAGGCCUAACACAUGCAAGUCGAACGAACUCUUCGGAGUUAGUGGCGGACGGGUGAGUAACACGUGGGAACGUGCCUUUUGGUUCGGAAUAACUCAGGGAAACUUGUGCUAAUACCGAAUGUGCCCUUCGGGGGAAAGAUUUAUCGCCAUUAGAGCGGCCCGCGUCUGAUUAGCUAGUUGGUGAGGUAACGGCUCACCACGGCGACGAUCAGUAGCUGGUCUGAGAGGAUGACCAGCCACACUGGGGCUGAGACACGGCCCAGACUCCUACGGGAGGCAGCAGUGGGGAAUCUUGCGAAAUGGGCGGAAGCCUGACGCAGCCAUGCCGCGUGAAUGAUGAAGGUCUUAGGAUUGUAAAAUUCUUUCACCGGGGACGAUAAUGACGGUACCCGGAGAAGAAGCCCCGGCUAACUUCGUG